AUACGGAGGGUCCAAGCGUUAUCCGGAAUCAUUGGGUUUAAAGGGUCCGUAGGCGGGCAAUUAAGUCAGAGGUGAAAUCCCACAGCUCAACUGUGGAACUGCCUUUGAUACUGGUUGUCUUGAAUUAUAGUGAAGUAGAUAGAAUAUGUAGUGUAGCGGUGAAAUGCUUAGAUGUUACAUAGAAUACCGAUUGCGAAGGCAGUCUACUAACUGUAUAUUGACGCUGAUGGACGAAAGCGUGGGGAGCGAACAGGAUUAGAAACCCUAGUAGUCC
This 274-nucleotide ribosomal RNA is filed under the name uncultured bacterium. RNAcentral describes it as "partial 16S ribosomal RNA". It matches the Rfam family "Bacterial small subunit ribosomal RNA", at positions 523 to 796 of the family's 1533-position model. The record is from RNAcentral.